Molecule: long non-coding RNA, 382 nt
Organism: Capsicum annuum
Lineage: Eukaryota; Viridiplantae; Streptophyta; Magnoliopsida; Solanales; Solanaceae
Exons: 2
Source: RefSeq, a predicted model, not a curated record
AAUAGGUAAUAGAUUUUCUACCCAAUUGUGGAUAGCAGAAGCAUUCGAAAGAAGAAGUUGAACAAACAAAAAAAAGAAAUAGUGAGAAUUUUCAGAAGCAAUAUUCCAAUGCAGCAGCUACAGCUUUGUACAACUACCUGGGGGCUCAUGAUGUGGGCGACAUGCUUUCAUUGCUAAGUUUCUUCAGUCUGCACAUCGGAACAUUUGUCCUCUCAAACUCUAAUUUUGACUAUCUUCUUUAUAUCAAAAUUAGUUUUUCAUAAGAGGAAUACAUAUAGUGGAAGAUAGAAAGCAUGCUUACUUAACUUCAAAGGUUGUUGUAGGAAGGUACUGAUUUUUCUCCAAUACUCCCUUUUCUCUUAAUACAUUACAGUUUUGAAGA